AAGCAUCGGCUAACUCCGUGCCAGCAGCCGCGGUAAUACGGAGGAUGCGAGCGUUAUCCGGAUUCAUUGGGUUUAAAGGGUGCGUAGGCGGACUAUUAAGUCAGUGGUGAAAUCCUGCAGCUUAACUGCAGAACUGCCAUUGAUACUGAUAGCCUUGAGUUUGGUUAAGGUAGGCGGAAUGUGUAAUGUAGCGGUGAAAUGCUUAGAUAUUACACAGAACACCAAUUGCGUAGGCAGCUUACUGAGCCGACACUGACGCUGAGGCACGAAAGCGUGGGGAUCGAACAGGAUUAGAUACCCUGGUAGUCCACGCCGUAAACGAUGAUUACUCGCUGUUGGCGAUACACUGUCAGCGGCUAAGCAAAAGCAAUAAGUAAUCCACCUGGGGAGUACGGCCGCAAGGUUGAAACUCAAAGGAAUUGACGGGGGCCCGCACAAGCGGAGGAACAUGUGGUUUGAUUCGAUGAUACGCGAGGAACCUUACCUGGGCUUAAAUGUAGAGUGCAUUUUCUAGAGAUAGGAAUUCCCUUCGGGGCUUUCUGCAAGGUGCUGCAUGGUUGUCGUCAGCUCGUGCCGUGAGGUGUCGGGUUAAGUCCCAUAACGAGCGCAACCCUUAUCGUUAGUUGCCAUCUGGUAAAGCAGGGGACUCUAGCGAAACUGCCACCGUAAGGUGAGAGGAAGGUGGGGAUGACGUCAAAUCAGCACGGCCCUUAUGUCCAGGGCUACACACGUGUUACAAUGGUCGGUACAGAGGGCAGCUACCUGGUGACAGGAUGCUAAUCUCGAAAACCGAUCUCAGUUCGGAUCGAAGUCUGCAACUCGACUUCGUGAAGCUGGAUUCGCUAGUAAUCGCGCAUCAGCCAUGGCGCGGUGAAUACGUUCCCGGGCCUUGUACACACCGCCCGU
This 906-nucleotide ribosomal RNA is filed under the name uncultured bacterium. RNAcentral describes it as "bacterial SSU rRNA". It matches the Rfam family "Bacterial small subunit ribosomal RNA", at positions 488 to 1397 of the family's 1533-position model. The record is from RNAcentral.